Molecule: long non-coding RNA, 1203 nt
Filed under: Sorghum bicolor (sorghum)
Lineage: Eukaryota; Viridiplantae; Streptophyta; Magnoliopsida; Poales; Poaceae
Description: long non-coding RNA (SBIC_LNC000426)
Source: RNAcentral
AAAAUUUGUUCUGGCUUGAAUUAUCAUAUCUAAGGGUGGAAGAUUCAGGUUCCAUUGAAUUGCUAAGUAGUUCCAAUAGGAGGAGCUAAAAGGGCAUUCAGAAAAUAAUGGAAGCUUGUUUCUUCAGUGCCAAGUUGCAGAUGGCACAAUUGUAAUUGUCUAAAGCUUUGUUCUUUCACUUAAGCAGGUUCCUCAUAUUGAGUCUAUCUUUGAGUAGGAGCCAGAAGAAGAAUCGAUGUUUCCCAAGGUUACCUGGAGCCCAGAGCUAGGAGAAACUUAUCCCUAUUAAAGAGAGUACUAGAAAUCAUCAGGGAUGCAUAGUAACAAAUCAAACAAAUAUCAUUAACAUGGUCACAUGCUCAGAUGUAUGGCGCAAUAACUGCCUGCUCUCAAGAUCCAGUCGAACCGAGCAGGCCACACCAUGCGGAACACCAAAACACUUGUAGUAUUAACCAUAUAGAUUGCUAAGAGUAAAAGGGAAGAAAAGAUUCACCCCCUCCAAAUCUCACAUCCUCGGAGAAUUCUUGGAAGGCAGCAAUGUCAUCACACUUGGAGGGGAUGAGGAAUAAAUUAAAGAAAGCGCCUGAAAUUGCCGGAACUGCUACAAACCGUGCCAAAAAGAUAAGGACAGCUAGCGGUUUUAUCCAACACAGGCAAACAAUUCAUCUGCACAUAGAUCGUUGUCCAUAGGGAAGGGGAGGCAGCCUCUGCGAGCAUUGGGAGAUCCCGAGGUAAGAAGAGAGGGAAGGAGGGACCAAACCGAGAGGAGGGCACGGCGGAGGAACAACAGAGUAGCCAGGACCAGGCCGCGUCGGUGGGGAGGGAGGGGCACCCACCAGCGACACCUGCUACCGCCACACCGUGCCCGGGGGAGGCGACUGCAGCCACUGGGGCUGACGUAGGGCCCAUGGCUGCGGCCGGCGGCAGCCACCUGGCGAGAGUUGUCGUGGAGGAGGAGGAAGAUGGUCACCGCUGCGCCGAGAGCCCGCCGCCGCCAUGCCGAGGGCUAGGCACGGACGCUGUCGCUGCGUCGGGAGAGCCCAAGAGAGAGGCAGAGGGAGAAGGGAAGCGGAGAGGACGGGUAGGGACACGGCGGAGAUGUUCGGAGAAGGGGGUUUUCUUUUUUUUGUUGACCACCGUGGAUAGACCAGCCGAGCUCCGUGCAUAAUUUUUUUCCCCUGCAACGGAGGUCGUACAGGAUAC